GUGCCAGCCGCCGCGGUAAUACCGGUAUCUCAAGUGAUGGCCACUCUUAUUGGGCCUAAAGCGUCCGUAGCUGGCCGCGCAAGUCCGUCGGGAAAUCCAUCAGCCCAACUGAUGGGCGUCCGGCGGAAACUGCACGGCUUGGGACCGGAAGACUCGAGAGGUACGUCCGGGGUAGGAGUGAAAUCCCGUAAUCCCGAACGGACCACCGAUGGCGAAAGCACUUCGAGAAAACGGAUCCGACAGUGAGGGACGAAAGCCAGGGUCUCCAACCGGAUUAGAAACCCCAGUAGUCC
This 293-nucleotide ribosomal RNA is filed under the name uncultured bacterium. RNAcentral's name for it is "partial 16S ribosomal RNA". It matches the Rfam family "Archaeal small subunit ribosomal RNA", at positions 455 to 747 of the family's 1478-position model. The record is from RNAcentral.